Long non-coding RNA from Calidris pugnax (ruff), 2180 nucleotides. RefSeq lists it as uncharacterized. The record is from RefSeq and is a predicted model, not a curated record. Lineage: Eukaryota; Metazoa; Chordata; Aves; Charadriiformes; Scolopacidae. The transcript has 4 exons.
GAAAAAGCAGACCACUACCACUUUGGGGGGGGAGGUCUAUAAGGCCUUGGGAGGUGUGAUUUUUAUUUUAAAGUAUAUAUUGUUGAGGAGUAGUGUGCUUAAGGAAGUUCAAAAAGGAUAAUGGGAAAGUGUCAUUUGGUCUAAAAUUGUAAUUGGUAAAGAAUAAGACAAAAGAAGGUUUCUUGCAAAUUACUUGGUAUCUGUUUGGUUCAGUUAGAAUAUCUGACUAUGAAGAACUACUGUGACAUUUCAUGUACUUUCAGUAUUUGAAGAAACUUCUCAGUUGCUCUUUGAAUACUUGUUCAUUAAAAUCCGCUUCUUUAACUUAAUAUUCUUUACAACUAACAAUGAUAACUUAAUAAGGCAAUAAAAACUGAAGGUAUAUAGUCCUGAAGAUUCAGAAACCUCUAUGCCAAAAAUUAUGGCACAUAUUUGAUUAUGGAGUUGUGGAAAUGUUGGGCUGCACUGAGGAGAACUAAUUAACAAUGCCUAUCAUUGAAUUAAUUCACUCUUAUUUACAUCUGCACUCAUGGGAGUCCAACACCUUAUUUUAAGUACAUGUAGAAAGUUAUUGAUAUCAAUAGGACUCUUGAACUGCUUAAUGUUAAGCAUGUGCUAAGCUUUUUUUUGGUCAGUGGGUGAAUGAGGUCUCCAUCCUCUCUUGAAAUUCAGUACACUGGCUUUUUGUGGACUUAGUGCACAAGGGUGAAUUUCCAUAAGUAAUUAUACUGAUAUAGAAGUGAAUUACUUGCGUGUUUAAGGCAAGUAUAAUUUAGCCACAAAGUUAUUAAUUGUUGUAGGGAAUAGACUUAAAGAGGCAAGAGUUUGUAAUGGGGAUGAAAAGAUGAAGAUAAGGUUUAUUUUACAAAAAAAAAUGUUGUUCUUUUUAUAACUAUUUUGAGCAAACUGUCCACGAAAAAUAAUGAACCACGAUGCCUAACAGCACAUUAAAUAUUUUUGCUUAUAUAUUUCAGUUAGUUAAUGAAGGCACCUUUUUUUUUUAAUAGGAAACUAGGUUGAGCUCAAAAACUAUUCUAAAUGUAAUUUUAUCUGUUGGAUGUUACUUUGCUUUAUCUGGAAAAAACAAUCAACUUCUGUGUUCAAAGAUCACGUCAGAUAACAAGAAAUAGAUCUAUUAUUUAUGCUAUUAACACUGAAAUAGUUUUCUUGAGGUGCAAUAUUUAUUUUUCUGCUUUAACAAGACACGUUUAUUGUUUUUCCUGCACAGCACAGAUGUUUCUAGUAAAAGGAGUUUUAAAAGGGCACUAUUUUUGUGUAUCAUAUUUAAAUUUGUAAUAUUGUAAGAUUUUGCACAAGUGUGCUGGUAUUGUACUGUAUAGUAUCACAUACUUGAGUUUUGAAAUAAAAGUAUGGUUUCAAAGUCCUCAAUGUUGCUACCUUAAAGGUUUGGUUUUUUACAUGCGCGCUGUCUGCAUAUUAAUUGGUUUGUUCUUGUUAAAUACAUACUGCCUUGUCUGUCGUAGUGCCGUGCUACACAUACCAAAGAUCUUGUUCUUAGUCUUUCAGUUCUUCAGGAGAGUGAUGUAGAAGAAGCAAGCAAACUACUGUUUCAAUAGAGAAAGUGUUUGUAAGCAGGGUCAUCCCUGUCAUAGCCUAGACACAAGAUGAGAGAGGAAACUGAAAUAUCCUGGAGAGAGUUUAACUCCUACUUCAGAGGGAGGCUGUCUGUCACUGAGGAGGUUGAACAUGGAAAGCCACAAGGGAGAUCUGUAACCAAAGGAGGCCGAGUGAAAGACCCACAAACAGGUUAAAGACCUUUUAUACUGUUACAGUCCAGCUAAGUGAUCUCCUACAUAAUUUUGGAACCGCUGAAAUAUAAAAAGGAAGAAACUAACCAGAAAAAAAAAAUAAAGCUAAAAAUCCUACUAAAAAUCAAUAGCAUGGACAGAGUUUGACUAAAGGAUCUUUGCCACUGUGAGGAUAAUAAGCAAGAAGUGUUAAAAUUUGGAAGGACAAUUAGCACGCAAUUUCAAAAUGCCAGAAACCCAGCUUUUGAUUAGUUUUUAUGGUAGGAAAUACUUAGCAGUUCAAGGACCUUGAAAACAGCCUGGGGAUGUAGGACAUCUAAAAGUUUACUGAAUUACCAACUGAGUAUGACGUAGCAAAACCAUCCUGUUGCCAAAGAAGGGCUCAUACUAUUCUGAACUGCAAAAGCAGGU